GAAAUGCGAUAAGUAAUGUGAAUUGCAGAAUUCAGUGAAUCAUCGAAUCUUUGAACGCACCUUGCGCUCCUUGGUAUUCCUUGGAGCAUGCCUGUUUGAGUAUCAUGAAAUCUUCAAAGUAAAUCUUUUGUUAACUCAAUUGGUUUCUACUUUGGUAUUGGAGGUCUUUGCAGCUUCACACCUGCUCCUCUUUGUUCAUUAGCUGGAUCUCAGUGUUAUGCUUGGUUCCACUCGGCGUGAUAAGUUAUCUAUCGCUGAGGACACUGUAAAAGGUGGCCAAGGGAAAUGCAGAUGAACCGCUUCUAAUAGUCCAUUGACUUGGACAAUACUUUUAUGAUCUGAUCUCAAAUCAGGUAGGACUACCCGCUGAACUUAAGC
RNAcentral lists this unclassified non-coding RNA (378 nucleotides) under plant metagenome. RNAcentral describes it as "partial contains 5.8S ribosomal RNA, internal transcribed spacer 2, and large subunit ribosomal RNA". The stretch from base 1 to 105 matches the Rfam family "5.8S ribosomal RNA", at positions 50 to 154 of the family's 154-position model. The record is from RNAcentral.